RNAcentral lists this non-coding RNA (431 nucleotides) under Georgenia sp. SUBG003. RNAcentral's name for it is "bacterial LSU rRNA". It matches the Rfam family "Bacterial large subunit ribosomal RNA", at positions 2322 to 2738 of the family's 2925-position model. Lineage: Bacteria; Bacillati; Actinomycetota; Actinomycetes; Allobogoriellales; Allobogoriellaceae. The record is from RNAcentral.
UCAGCCUGGUUGGCAAUCAGGUGUCGAGUGCAAGUGCACAAGGGAGCUUGACUGUGAGACUGACAGGUCGAGCAGGGGACGAAAAGUCGGAACUAGUGAUCCGGCGGUGGCUUGUGGAAGCGCCGUCGCUCAACGGAUAAAAAGGUACCCCCGGGGGAUAACAGGCUGAUCUUGCCCAAGAGUCCAUAUCGACGGCAUGGUUUGGCACCUCGAUGUCGGCUCGUCGCAUCCUGGGGGCUGGAGUAGGUCCCAAGGGGUUGGGCUGUUCGCCCAUUAAAAGCGGUACGCGAGCUGGGUUUAGAACGUCGUGAGACAGUUCGGGUCCCUAUCCGCUGCGCGCGCAGGAAAACUUGAGAAGGGGCUGUCCCCUAGUACGAGAGGGACCGGGGACGGACGAACCUCUGGUGUGCCAGUUGUUCCGCCAGGAGCAU